Molecule: ribosomal RNA, 492 nt
Filed under: uncultured bacterium
Lineage: Bacteria
Description: partial 16S ribosomal RNA
Rfam family: Bacterial small subunit ribosomal RNA
Source: RNAcentral
AGUGAACGCUGGCGGUAGGCCUAACACAUGCAAGUCGAACGGCAGCACAGUAAGAGCUUGCUCUUACGGGUGGCGAGUGGCGGACGGGUGAGGAAUACAUCGGAAUCUACUUUUUCGUGGGGGAUAACGUAGGGAAACUUACGCUAAUACCGCAUACGACGUACGGGUGAAAGCAGGGGAUCUUCGGACCUUGCGCGAUUGAAUGAGCCGAUGUCGGAUUAGCUAGUUGGCGGGGUAAAGGCCCACCAAGGCGACGAUCCGUAGCUGGUCUGAGAGGAUGAUCAGCCACACUGGAACGGAGACACGGUCCAGACUCCUACGGGAGGCAGCAGUGGGGAAUAUUGGACAAUGGGCGCAAGCCUGAUCCAGCCAUACCGCGUGGGUGAAGAAGGCCUUCGGGUUGUAAAGCCCUUUUGUUGGGAAAGAAAAGCAGCAGGCUAAUACCCCGCUGUUCUGACGGUACCCAAAGAAUAAGCACCGGCUAACUACGUG